Molecule: ribosomal RNA, 254 nt
Filed under: uncultured bacterium
Lineage: Bacteria
Description: partial 16S ribosomal RNA
Rfam family: Bacterial small subunit ribosomal RNA
Source: RNAcentral
GACGAACCGUGCGAACGUUAUUCGGAAUCACUGGGCUUAAAGCGCGUGUAGGCGGGCCACCACGUCGGCCGUUGAAAGCCCCCGGCUCAACCGGGGAACCGGCGCCGAUACGAGUGGCCUGGAGGGGGGUAGGGGGACCUGGAACUUCCGGUGGAGCGGUGAAAUGCGUUGAGAUCGGAAGGAACGCCCGUGGCGAAAGCGAGGUCCUGGACCCCAUCUGACGCUGAGACGCGAAAGCCAGGGGAGCGAACGGG